AGCAUAUCAAUAAGCGGGAGGGAAAAGAAACUAACAAGGAUUCCCCUAGUAACUGCGAGUGAAGCGGGAAAAGCUCAAAUUUAAAAUCUGGCAGUCUUUGGCUGUCCGAGUUGUAAUCUAGAGAAGUGCUAUCCGCGCUGGACCGUGUACAAGUCUCCUGGAAUGGAGCGUCAUAGAGGGUGAGAAUCCCGUCUUUGACACGGACUACCAGGGCUUUGUGAUACGCUCUCAAAGAGUCGAGUUGUUUGGGAAUGCAGCUCAAAAUGGGUGGUAAAUUCCAUCUAAAGCUAAAUAUUGGCGAGAGACCGAUAGCGAACAAGUACCGUGAGGGAAAGAUGAAAAGAACUUUGGAAAGAGAGUUAAACAGUACGUGAAAUUGCUGAAAGGGAAACGCUUGAAGUCAGUCGCGUUGUCCAGGGAUCAGCCUUGCUUUUGCUUGGCGCACUUUCUGGUUGACGGGUCAGCAUCAAUUUUGACCAUUGGAAAAAGAUUAGAGGAAUGUGGCAUCUUCGGAUGUGUUAUAGCCUUUAGUUGUAUACAAUGGUUGGGAUUGAGGAACUCAGCACGCCGAAAGGCCGGGUUUUUAACCACGUACGUGCUUAGGAUGCUGGCAUAAUGGCUUUAAUCGACCCGUCUUGAAACACGGACCAAGGAGUCUAACAUGCCUGCGAGUGUUUGGGUGGAAAACCCGAGCGCGUAAUGAAAGUGAAAGUUGAGAUCCCUGUCGUGGGGAGCAUCGACGCCCGGACCAGACCUUUUGUGACGGUUCCGCGGUAGAGCAUGUAUGUUGGGACCCGAAAGAUGGUGAACUAUGCCUGAAUAGGGUGAAGCCAGAGGAAACUCUGGUGGAGGCUCGUAGCGAUUCUGACGUGCAAAUCGAUCGUCAAAUUUGGGUAUAGGGGGCGAAAGACUAAUCGA
RNAcentral lists this ribosomal RNA (918 nucleotides) under Cortinarius sp. PDD 87652. RNAcentral's name for it is "LSU rRNA". It matches the Rfam family "Eukaryotic large subunit ribosomal RNA", at positions 37 to 938 of the family's 3401-position model. The record is from RNAcentral. Lineage: Eukaryota; Fungi; Basidiomycota; Agaricomycetes; Agaricales; Cortinariaceae.